AUUUCACAACUAUAUAUUUUAUUUCACAAUAAUCAAUCAUAGUUCAUAACACAACAAUACAUAAAUUUAAUUAAAUUUAAUUCCAUAGAUCAUAAUAAUAAUUAAUUAAAAUUAAAAAUACAAUCCUCGAAUAAUCAUUACAAUAAGUCAUAACUACGAAAUAUUAAUAUAACAAAUCAUAGGUCACAACUUACAAGUUACAACUACAAAACACGAACUACGACCAAUUGACGAAUAACAAGCAUGAAAAAAACAUUUAUUAAUCACAAGUUCACAACUAUGAAUAUGGGAAACGAGCAAGGUUAAUUCUAUCUCGGCUGGUGGCGAGCUAAACAAUUUGACACGUGGCGAUGUAAACCCAAGGUGCCAUGGCUGUUUGAAUAAAUAACUUCUCGAUGACAAUAGUUGCACCUCAAGAUCAUCCGCUUCUAAGGACGAUGCAAACUAUUAUCUAUUAUUUCCUCCCUUAUUGCAGUAAAAUUUUGAAAAAGCUCAUUUAAAAAAUGACUUUUGGGCUGAUUUAGCCUAGCGUUUUGUUGAGGUCCAACUACAUCAACACCGUAUUCUUGAGGGUGUUGAGGUUUUUCUGCAUUCAUAUUAUGUUGCUGCGGAUUCAUAAUGAUUUUGGCUUUUAGAAUAUUGGAAAGUUUGAGGAAAAAGAAAAAGAAUAAGAAUUGUGAAGCAUCAUAGCAUAAUGGCGUGUAUAUAUAAUAUUAGAUAGUAAUAAAAAGACAAAAAUUACUGUACAUAAUGAAACUUGAAUUGACUGCACUGCAAAUCUGUAAUCUGCAUGUCUGCAUGUGCACUAUAUGACAACUACCGUGUUGAAAAUUUGAGUUGAGAAUUUAAAUUCAAAGAAAUAAAAUACUCUACAUAAUGAAUGCAAGCUCCUCCCGUAUUACUAGUUUACUAUUAUCAUAUUAUCUCAUCAACACACUUGACACUUGUGAUAGGAUUUAUUAACAUUGUGAUAGUUGCGUGAUUCUCUUGUGACAAUGAACCAUAAUUUUUUUUUAAUUUAAUAUGUUGUUUUGAAAAAAAAAUUAAUUACUAAAAUUA
Molecule: long non-coding RNA, 1059 nt
Filed under: Citrus x clementina
Lineage: Eukaryota; Viridiplantae; Streptophyta; Magnoliopsida; Sapindales; Rutaceae
Description: Citrus clementina (C. clementina) long non-coding RNA (CCLE_LNC002660)
Source: RNAcentral